This 303-nucleotide ribosomal RNA is filed under the name Clostridioides difficile. RNAcentral's name for it is "partial 23S ribosomal RNA". It matches the Rfam family "Bacterial large subunit ribosomal RNA", at positions 398 to 702 of the family's 2925-position model. The record is from RNAcentral. Lineage: Bacteria; Bacillati; Bacillota; Clostridia; Peptostreptococcales; Peptostreptococcaceae.
AGAUAUGAUCCAGAGUACCACGGGACACGUGAAACCCUGUGGGAAGCAGGAGGGACCACCCUCCAAGGCUAAAUACUACCUAGUGACCGAUAGCGUAUAGUACCGUGAGGGAAAGGUGAAAAGAACCCCGGGAGGGGAGUGAAAUAGAACCUGAAACCCUGCACUUACAAGCUGUGGAAGCACAUUUCUUGUGUGACCGCGUACUUUUUGUAGAACGGGCCAACGAGUUACGUUAAGUAGCAAGGUUAAGCACUUAAGGUGCGGAGCCGUAGCGAAAGCGAGUUUUAACUGAGCGUUCAGUUA